UACUGUCUCUCAGCCUAACAGUUCCCUCUUCCCUGCCUCCUCGGGUCCAUGUGGCGUCCCUGCUGCUUCCAUGUCUGAGGCGUCUGGGGGAGUUGCAAGGGAGACUGGGCCUUUCCCUGGUGAGGAGAGAGGUCAGCUGCACAAUGCUUUUAGUGGAAAGGGUAAGACACACACACGCACGCGCACACACAAGCUGGCAGCUACAUUGGUACUCAGUUCAUUUUCUUUUGACAGCUAAUGUGUUGGGGCAGCAGGAAGUGGAAGAAGAGCCACAGCAGAAGAUUGAUGUUGUCUACGAGGAAAAUGUUGAAAAUUGGGAUAACAUCGUGGGGGGCUUGGGACCGGCUACUGGACUGAGAAGCAGCACCUUCCUUCAGUUUACUUCCAUGCAGUGCAGUUGCUGUGCAUGGGAAACUGACUCCGCUAAUCAUUUUUGCCUCAUGAUGAAAACCUGCAUCCCUCGUAGCAGCACACUUCCUCCGGCCCACGUACAGCCGACGGUCUGCUGCACAGAGCCCAGCAGGGAGGUACCGUUGACAGAGUACCAAGCCAGGUACACUGCUGAGUGGGCCCAGCCUAAAAUGCAGCAGAGAGACAUUCACCAUCGUGAUUGA
RNAcentral lists this long non-coding RNA (614 nucleotides) under Cottoperca gobio. RNAcentral's name for it is "lncRNA (ENSCGOG00000021029.1)". The record is from RNAcentral. Lineage: Eukaryota; Metazoa; Chordata; Actinopteri; Perciformes; Bovichtidae.